Molecule: ribosomal RNA, 229 nt
Filed under: uncultured bacterium
Lineage: Bacteria
Description: partial 16S ribosomal RNA
Rfam family: Bacterial small subunit ribosomal RNA
Source: RNAcentral
UACGUAGGCGGAAAAUUAAGUCAGUAGUGAAAUCCUGCAGCUUAACUGUAGAACUGUUAUUGAUACUGGUUUUCUUGAAUAUAGUUGAGGUAGGCGGAAUGUGUAAUGUAGCGGUGAAAUGCUUAGAUAUUACACAGAACACCGAUUGCGAAGGAAGCUUACUAAGCUAUGAUUGACGCUGAGGUACGAAAGCGUGAGGAGCGAACAGGAUUAGAUACCCUGGUAGUCC